Molecule: long non-coding RNA, 1269 nt
Organism: Nematostella vectensis (starlet sea anemone)
Lineage: Eukaryota; Metazoa; Cnidaria; Anthozoa; Actiniaria; Edwardsiidae
Exons: 2
Source: RefSeq, a predicted model, not a curated record
AGAACAGCUCUUUCAUAACUAUUUAACAACACCAUACAGUAGAGGUUAUUCUGAAAAAGACCUAAGUUUGGUGACUGGUACAGCUGCUGAUGCAUUACUGAAAAUCAUCAAGCAAGUUGGUCAAAAUCUGGGAAAAGCAAAGCAGGUUCCACAAGAAACAAAUGCAAGAGGGCAGCCUAAAGGAGACAUGACAUUUUUUCUUCCUACCUUUGACACCAACAUUACUUCAAAAGCAAUGCCCCUUGGCUACUUAUUUGUAAAAGAAGACCCUUCCACAAUACCUGAUCCUAAAUUAAUCUGUGACUACAAAAACUGCACGCAAUUAUCAACAACCAAUGUCAAUUGCCUUAACUGUUUUCACACAUUUCACAAUUUUUGUUUAGAAGAAGCUGGAGACCAGUGUCAACUCUGUUCCCCACACCUUGCUGAAAAGUUCCCAAUCACCAGGCUGCACCUUUACAGGCAAUUGACAUCCAAGUUACCACUCAUCCAGUUGGUUCAUCUACAUUUUGGUUCUUUCCUCCUUACAUAUCUCAGUCAACUCUACUUGGAAGAAAUGGAUCUAAUGCAUGUGCUUUUAUCUCACUAAUUCUGCAAACCAAACCAGUAUACAGCUCAGCCGUGGUCCUCCCAUAAACCCUCAUUGGCUUUCAAUGAUGUUAUCUGCAAUUGUUCGUGGCAACAGCAUAUAUGACACUGUGACAAAUGGUUACGGGUCUCCAUUCUUUAGUGUUGUUGAGGCAAAACCACAUCUAGAUUCAGUCAUUGGGACUGUUUCUCUUGAAGACGCCCUCGAUCUGUCAAUUACCUCAGCUAAUCCACAGGUUCCUCAAAGUUCACUUGCAUUUUAUCUGCAAAGGCUUGAUCGCGAACAGAACUUAGCAGCAAUAGUCAUAGCUAAUGGAAUGACAAUAUCUCUCGUCGGACACGAUUCAAAGAUCUGUUCUAGAUAGCCAUCUACACUAUGCACACGGCCAUAACAUUGGAGCGAUGAUCGGAAUGAGUCCCAAGGCUGACUUGGAAGAAUUCCUCAGGAAUAUAAAGAAACUAAUCUCGCCCACAUUUGAUGUUUGCUCCCUGACAUUUGUCUCGUUUUCAGGGCAGCAGUCGAACUUUCGAGUUUCGCGUGCCAGCAAAUCCCACAAACGCCGUCAAACUUGAGGAUUUUACCCUCGAUCCAGCAAAAAAUCUUCCUGGAACCUUAACACGAGUACAUUUUCUUGGUGUAUGUGUAAUUUUUUGCUCCCGUUAAGUCCAUUUUGAGCCAAA